This 161-nucleotide unclassified non-coding RNA is filed under the name soil metagenome. RNAcentral's name for it is "partial internal transcribed spacer 1". The record is from RNAcentral.
CAGAGUUGCAAGACUCCCUAAACCAUUGUGAAACCUACCUUCUACCGUUGCUUCGGCGGGCGGGCCCAGCGCCCCCCCCGGCCCCCCGCGGGCGCCCGCCGGAGGAUACCCAAACUCUUGACAUUAGUGGCCUCUCUGAGUAUUCUUUACUGAAUAAGUCA